AGCUCCAAUAGCGUAUAUUAAAGUUGUUGCGGUUAAAAAGCUCGUAGUUGGAUCUCAGCAGCCAGGGGGAGGUUCGUUAUUUGACGCUACUUCCCCAUUUGGCUGUGUCAUUUGCUGGAGGCUGGGCGGUGAUCUUAACCGGUUGUCGUCCAGUGCCAGCAGGUUUACUUUGAAAAAAUUAGAGUGCUCAAAGCAGGCUUCACACGCUUGAAUAUUCGUGCAUGGAAUAAUAGAAUAGGAUGUCGUUUCUAUUUUGUUGGUUUUCUGUAUUCGACAUAAUGAUAAAUAGGGACAGUCGGGGGCAUUGGUACUCAGAUGACAGAGGUGAAAUUCUUGGACCAUCUGAAGACCAACUACUGCGAAAGCAUUUGCCAAGAAUGUUUUCA
This 386-nucleotide ribosomal RNA is filed under the name uncultured eukaryote. Its description in RNAcentral is "SSU rRNA". It matches the Rfam family "Eukaryotic small subunit ribosomal RNA", at positions 587 to 972 of the family's 1831-position model. The record is from RNAcentral.